Molecule: long non-coding RNA, 228 nt
Filed under: Salvia miltiorrhiza (redroot sage)
Lineage: Eukaryota; Viridiplantae; Streptophyta; Magnoliopsida; Lamiales; Lamiaceae
Description: long non-coding RNA (SMIL_LNC009529)
Source: RNAcentral
UUACAGGCCUUUAAUCCAAAUUUCCUGAUAAUAAAUACUCAAAAUAAAUAACAGACUCAACUAAAAAAGAAAAAAGAAAAGAAAUACAGAAGUGCCAUGUUGAGCAUCGAGGACUGGAGGUAUCAUUUUUUUUGUUAAUCGAAUUUGAUUUCAGUUCUUAUUUAGGUAAAAUUGACCAAAAUUGCAUAUUUACAAUUGAUCAACUCUAAGAAAAUAUUCACCCCCCCC